This 419-nucleotide ribosomal RNA is filed under the name uncultured bacterium. RNAcentral's name for it is "bacterial SSU rRNA". It matches the Rfam family "Bacterial small subunit ribosomal RNA", at positions 89 to 507 of the family's 1533-position model. The record is from RNAcentral.
AAGAGACCGGCGCGACGGGUGCGUAACGCGUAUGCAAUCUACUUUGCAGAGGAUAGCCCAGAGUAAAUUUGGAUUAAUACCUCAUAGUAUAGUACUUUGGCAUCAAGGAACUAUUAAAGUCACAACGGCAAAAGAUGAGCAUGCGUCCCAUUAGCUAGUUGGUAAGGUAACGGCUUACCAAGGCAACGAUGGGUAGGGGUCCUGAGAGGGAGAUCCCCCGCACUGGUACUGAGACACGGACCAGACUCCUACGGGAGGCAGCAGUGAGGAAUAUUGGACAAUGGGCGCAAGCCUGAUCCAGCCAUGCCGCGUGCAGGAUGACGGUCCUAUGGAUUGUAAACUGCUUUUAUACAGGAAGAAACACUACUUCGUGAAGUAGCUUGACGGUACUGUAAGAAUAAGGAUCGGCUAACUCCGUG